GAAAAAAUGUUCUCUUCGUACAUGGAGGGGGUCGCCCUAGGGAAGUCGCACGUGCCUGCUUAUAACAAAGAGAAGACAUCGAGAGCUAGGAUCCAGCUAUAUCUAUUAUCGAAAUUGUCUACGGGUGUUCACCACGAACGAAAGAAUAAGGGAACCCAUUUGGUCGACGAACUAGAGUGACAGCUGCACGUGUCGUCACUCCACGUACCAUUCUUCUCUUUCCAUAGUAUUCGAACUUUCCGUGUCAACGACGAGAAAAUUCGAUUCUUUUUCUAAAAAUACGAAUAUGUUGGACGAUUUUAUCGAUCGAUAUUAUACGCGCGCGCGCGCGCGCGCGCGUGUGUGCAUGUAUAUGUAUAUGUACACACACACACACACACACACACAUAUAUAUAUAUAUAUAUAUAGCGAUAGUGUAAAAAAGAAAAGCCAUACAAGUCUCGAUGCGAAUUUUCUCUAUCGAAGUUACGUGCCGUUCCCAAUUGACCACGUGAUCGUGUCGUCUGCUACGUCCGCCAUGACAAUAAGAAGUUUACGCGCUUCUUUGCGCGCCACACUUCUCUUAUUCGCAAAAAGAUUCAUGCGAUAAUGUUCCUAUUUUAUACCAAGUUUCACGUUUUGCGCUAAAACUUCUUCCUUAUUUCUCGCUAUCCAACGAACUGGAACUGGAAAGGAUGGAUAUUCUUUUCGACCUUUCCGUAACGGCACUCAGUUACUCUCUUUCUCUCUCUAUCUCUCCCCCAUCUUUUUCUUAGGAGAGCGAAAACCGAGAGAGAGAGAGAGAGAGAGAGAGAGAGAGAAGCGAAGCAAAAAGAGCGUGACGCAGAACGGUUCGUCGUUCUUAGGAAGCACGAAGAAGUCGCCCUCGUCGUUCGACGAUCAUCGUCCAUUAUCGUACUUUUACGUACCCGGCGAAAACGAUGGAGAAAGAGAGAGAGAAAAAGAGAAAGAGAGGACAACGACGACGACGACGCAAGAGGAAAAAGAGAGAAAGUCCAAGAGAAGUAGACUAUCGCGUAGCGUCGUCCUCGUCGUCGCGCCACGAAACGCUCCGUUGUUUAUACCCUCCUCGCAAUAAUAAUGUCGGAGGAUAAGAGGAGGAGGAGGCGAAGCACGAAGUGCACCGACGACACCGCCAACGCCGCCACCACCACCACCGCUGUCGCGACAAAUGAGAACGAGACACCGCUUGGCGAUGCAUGUACGCGCGUAUGCACCGGACCACGGCCGCCGCCACCACCACCACCACCACCACCACCGACGACGACGACGACGGCGACGACACGACGGCGAUGACGAUACACACGCGCACAAACGCGCACGCACCGCACUCGCACGUUCAAAAUCAGAGAAAGAGACUUAAGAAGAUCGGACACUAAAAGAGAGCACUACUGUGGGCCAAUGGAAGAUCUGCUCCGUCUUUCCACGUUAAGAUAACUCUUGCAUAUUCCGGACGAGGAUCCAAUUGAUAAGUCGAAUCCACCUGCAAUUAAUUUAUAAACUACUGGUUUCAACAUAUCUCGAUCGCCCAUCGACACUGAUCCGGAUGUUACGAGUACAUCGACUUUUCCCAAGGCAUUUUUAAUUGCAUCCACCAUGCUGGCUUUGCUAUGAAAAAUAAACGAUAAAGCAUCGAAAUUAA
Vespa crabro (European hornet) is the source of this 1642-nucleotide long non-coding RNA. RefSeq lists it as uncharacterized. The record is from RefSeq and is a predicted model, not a curated record. The transcript has 3 exons. NCBI's taxonomy places the organism in Eukaryota, Metazoa, Arthropoda, Insecta, Hymenoptera, Vespidae.